This 1416-nucleotide ribosomal RNA is filed under the name metagenome. RNAcentral's name for it is "bacterial SSU rRNA". It matches the Rfam family "Bacterial small subunit ribosomal RNA". The record is from RNAcentral.
GGUGGCGAGUGGCGAACGGGUGAGUAAAGCAUCGGAACGAAUCCGGGAGUGGGGGAUAACGUAGCGAAAGUUACGCUAAUACCGCAUAUUCUCUGAGGAGGAAAGAGGGGGAUCGCAAGACCUCUUGCUUUCGGAGCGGCCGAUGUCGGAUUAGCUAGUUGGUGGGGUAAAGGCCCACCAAGGCGACGAUCCGUAGCGGGUCUGAGAGGAUGAUCCGCCACACUGGGACUGAGACACGGCCCAGACUCCUACGGGAGGCAGCAGUGGGGAAUUUUGGACAAUGGGGGCAACCCUGAUCCAGCCAUGCCGCGUGAGUGAAGAAGGCCUUCGGGUUGUAAAGCUCUUUCGGCGGGGAAGAAAUCGCGCUGGAUAAUACCUGGUGUGGAUGACGGUACCCGAAUAAGAAGCACCGGCUAACUACGUGCCAGCAGCCGCGGUAAUACGUAGGGUGCGAGCGUUAAUCGGAAUUACUGGGCGUAAAGCGUGCGCAGGCGGUUGUGCAAGACAGGCGUGAAAUCCCCGGGCUUAACCUGGGAAUGGCGCUUGUGACUGCACGACUAGAGUACGGCAGAGGGGGGUGGAAUUCCACGUGUAGCAGUGAAAUGCGUAGAGAUGUGGAGGAACACCGAUGGCGAAGGCAGCCCCCUGGGCCAGUACUGACGCUCAUGCACGAAAGCGUGGGGAGCAAACAGGAUUAGAUACCCUGGUAGUCCACGCCCUAAACGAUGUCAACUAGGUGUUGGGUGGGUAAAACCAUUUAGUACCGAAGCUAACGCGUGAAGUUGACCGCCUGGGGAGUACGGCCGCAAGGUUAAAACUCGAAGGAAUUGACGGGGACCCGCACAAGCGGUGGAUGAUGUGGAUUAAUUCGAUGCAACGCGAAAAACCUUACCUACCCUUGACAUGUCAGGAAUCCCGCUGAGAGGUGGGAGUGCCCGAAAGGGAGCCUGAACACAGGUGCUGCAUGGCUGUCGUCAGCUCGUGUCGUGAGAUGUUGGGUUAAGUCCCGCAACGAGCGCAACCCUUGUCAUUAAUUGCCAUCAUUAAGUUGGGCACUUUAAUGAGUCUGCCGGUGACAAACCGGAGGAAGGUGGGGAUGACGUCAAGUCCUCAUGGCCCUUAUGGGUAGGGCUUCACACGUCAUACAAUGGUCGGUACAGAGGGUUGCCAAGCCGCGAGGUGGAGCCAAUCCCAGAAAGCCGAUCGUAGUCCGGAUCGUAGUCUGCAACUCGACUGCGUGAAGUCGGAAUCGCUAGUAAUCGCGGAUCAGCAUGUCGCGGUGAAUACGUUCCCGGGUCUUGUACACACCGCCCGUCACACCAUGGGAGCGGGUUCUGCCAGAAAUAGCUAGUCUAACCGCAAGGGGGACGGUUACCACGGCAGGGUUCGUGACUGGGGUGAAGUCGUAACAAGGUA